CAGUCGCCGCGGGAAUACGAAGGGUGCAAGCGUUACUCGGAAUUACUGGGCGUAAAGCGCGCGUAGGCGGUUACUCAAGUCAGAGGUGAAAGCCCGGGGCUCAACCCCGGAACUGCCUUUGAAACUAGGUGACUAGAAUCUUGGAGAGGUCAGUGGAAUUCCGAGUGUAGAGGUGAAAUUCGUAGAUAUUCGGAAGAACACCAGUGGCGAAGGCGACUGACUGGACAAGUAUUGACGCUGAGGUGCGAAAGCGUGGGGAGCAAACAGGAUUAGAGACCCGUGUAGUCCCUGUCUCUUAUAA
Molecule: ribosomal RNA, 301 nt
Filed under: uncultured bacterium
Lineage: Bacteria
Description: partial 16S ribosomal RNA
Rfam family: Bacterial small subunit ribosomal RNA
Source: RNAcentral